This 1137-nucleotide ribosomal RNA is filed under the name Salmonella enterica. Its description in RNAcentral is "partial 23S ribosomal RNA". It matches the Rfam family "Bacterial large subunit ribosomal RNA", at positions 359 to 1503 of the family's 2925-position model. Lineage: Bacteria; Pseudomonadati; Pseudomonadota; Gammaproteobacteria; Enterobacterales; Enterobacteriaceae. RNAcentral also lists the same sequence under 1 other name. The record is from RNAcentral.
ACAGGGUGACAGCCCCGUACACAAAAGCGCAUGUGCUGUGAGCUCGAUGAGUAGGGCGGGACACGUGGUAUCCUGUCUGAAUAUGGGGGGACCAUCCUCCAAGGCUAAAUACUCCUGACUGACCGAUAGUGAACCAGUACCGUGAGGGAAAGGCGAAAAGAACCCCGGCGAGGGGAGUGAAAAAGAACCUGAAACCGUGUACGUACAAGCAGUGGGAGCACCCUUUGGGGUGUGACUGCGUACCUUUUGUAUAAUGGGUCAGCGACUUAUAUUCUGUAGCAAGGUUAACCGAAUAGGGGAGCCGGAGGGAAACCGAGUCUUAAUUGGGCGUUAAGUUGCAGGGUAUAGACCCGAAACCCGGUGAUCUAGCCAUGGGCAGGUUGAAGGUUGGGUAACACUAACUGGAGGACCGAACCGACUAAUGUUGAAAAAUUAGCGGAUGACCUGUGGCUGGGGGUGAAAGGCCAAUCAAACCGGGAGAUAGCUGGUUCUCCCCGAAAGCUAUUUAGGUAGCGCCUCGUGAAUUCAUCUCCGGGGGUAGAGCACUGUUUCGGCUAGGGGGCCAUCCCGGCUUACCAACCCGAUGCAAACUGCGAAUACCGGAGAAUGUUAUCACGGGAGACACACGGCGGGUGCUAACGUCCGUCGUGAAGAGGGAAACAACCCAGACCGCCAGCUAAGGUCCCAAAGUCAUGGUUAAGUGGGAAACGAUGUGGGAAGGCCCAGACAGCCAGGAUGUUGGCUUAGAAGCAGCCAUCAUUUAAAGAAAGCGUAAUAGCUCACUGGUCGAGUCGGCCUGCGCGGAAGAUGUAACGGGGCUAAACCAUGCACCGAAGCUGCGGCAGCGACGCUGAUGCGUUGUUGGGUAGGGGAGCGUUCUGUAAGCCUGCGAAGGUGGCCUGUGAGGGUUGCUGGAGGUAUCAGAAGUGCGAAUGCUGACAUAAGUAACGAUAAAGCGGGUGAAAAGCCCGCUCGCCGGAAGACCAAGGGUUCCUGUCCAACGUUAAUCGGGGCAGGGUGAGUCGACCCCUAAGGCGAGGCCGAAAGGCGUAGUCGAUGGGAAACGGGUUAAUAUUCCCGUACUUGGUGUUACUGCGAAGGGGGGACGGAGAAGGCUAUGUUGGCCGGGCGACGGUU